AGUUGGUUUACAUAGUUGAGAAAAAAAAUGAGUUGAAGAGAGAACUUUACCGUAUGAAUUCUUGCAGCUGGGUAAAGAUGAUUGUGAAUGAGGAAAGAUCAUUUAAAGAAAAAAAAUGAGUUAACAGUUGAAUGGAUUGAUGAGUAGUGUAGCAGCAUGGGUUGUGAAUAGGGCAGCUGGGCUGAAAUAUUUGACGGGAUGAGAUUUGAUG
RNAcentral lists this long non-coding RNA (211 nucleotides) under Salvia miltiorrhiza (redroot sage). RNAcentral describes it as "long non-coding RNA (SMIL_LNC012842)". Lineage: Eukaryota; Viridiplantae; Streptophyta; Magnoliopsida; Lamiales; Lamiaceae. The record is from RNAcentral.